This 385-nucleotide ribosomal RNA is filed under the name uncultured bacterium. RNAcentral describes it as "bacterial SSU rRNA". It matches the Rfam family "Bacterial small subunit ribosomal RNA", at positions 355 to 737 of the family's 1533-position model. The record is from RNAcentral.
UAAGGAAUAUUGGUCAAUGGACGGAAGUCUGAACCAGCCAUGCCGCGUGCAGGAAGACGGUCCUCUGGAUUGUAAACUGCUUUUGUUAGGGAAGAAACUUCCGUACGUGUACGGGACUGACGGUACCUAAAGAAUAAGGAUCGGCUAACUCCGUGCCAGCAGCCGCGGUAAUACGGAGGAUCCAAGCGUUAUCCGGAUUUAUUGGGUUUAAAGGGUGCGUAGGCGGCGUUGUAAGUCAGUGGUGAAAGUUUGCAGCUUAACUGUAAAAUUGCCAUUGAUACUGCAGUGCUUGAGUAUAGAUGAGGUGGGCGGAAUGUGUCAUGUAGCGGUGAAAUGCAUAGAUAUGACACAGAACACCGAUUGCGAAGGCAGCUCACUAAACUAU